Molecule: ribosomal RNA, 220 nt
Filed under: uncultured bacterium
Lineage: Bacteria
Description: partial 16S ribosomal RNA
Rfam family: Bacterial small subunit ribosomal RNA
Source: RNAcentral
UAAUGCUUGGGAAUCUGGCUUAUGGAGGGGGGUAACUACGGGAAACUGUAGCUAAUACCGCGUAGUAUCGAGAGAUGAAAGUGCGGGACCGCAAGGCCGCAUGCCAUGAGAUGAGCCCAAGUGGGAUUAGGUAGUUGGUGGGGUAAAGGCCUACCAAGCCUGCGAUCUCUAGCUGGUCUGAGAGGAUGGCCAGCCACACUGGAACUGAGACACGGUCCAG